RNAcentral lists this ribosomal RNA (394 nucleotides) under uncultured bacterium. RNAcentral describes it as "bacterial SSU rRNA". It matches the Rfam family "Bacterial small subunit ribosomal RNA", at positions 96 to 486 of the family's 1533-position model. The record is from RNAcentral.
UGGCGGACGGGUGAGUAAUGUCUGGGAAACUGCCUGAUGGAGGGGGAUAACUACUGGAAACGGUAGCUAAUACCGCAUAACGUCGCAAGACCAAAGAGGGGGACCUUAGGGCCUCUUGCCAUCGGAUGUGCCCAGAUGGGAUUAGCUAGUAGGUGGGGUAACGGCUCACCUAGGCGACGAUCCCUAGCUGGUCUGAGAGGAUGACCAGCCACACUGGAACUGAGACACGGUCCAGACUCCUACGGGAGGCAGCAGUGGGGAAUAUUGCACAAUGGGCGCAAGCCUGAUGCAGCCAUGCCGCGUGUAUGAAGAAGGCCUUCGGGUUGUAAAGUACUUUCAGCGGGGAGGAAGGGAGUAAAGUUAAUACCUUUGCUCAUUGACGUUACCCUGCGAG